UACGAGUGCCUCAAGCGUUAUCCGGAAUUAUUGGGCGUAAAGAGCGUGUAGGCGGCCUGGAAGGUCAGCUGUGAAAACUCGAGGCUCAACCUCGAGACGUCGGUUGAAACCACUUGGCUAGAGUCCGGAAGAGGAGUGUGGAAUUCCCGGUGUAGCGGUGAAAUGCGCAGAUAUCGGGAAGAACACCCGUGGCGAAGGCGGCACUCUGGGACGGUACUGACGCUGAGACGCGAAAGCGUGGGGAGCGAACAGG
This 253-nucleotide ribosomal RNA is filed under the name uncultured bacterium. RNAcentral's name for it is "partial 16S ribosomal RNA". It matches the Rfam family "Bacterial small subunit ribosomal RNA", at positions 524 to 776 of the family's 1533-position model. The record is from RNAcentral.